RNAcentral lists this ribosomal RNA (1247 nucleotides) under Acidiphilium sp. Ac-4. Its description in RNAcentral is "bacterial SSU rRNA". It matches the Rfam family "Bacterial small subunit ribosomal RNA", at positions 134 to 1410 of the family's 1533-position model. Lineage: Bacteria; Pseudomonadati; Pseudomonadota; Alphaproteobacteria; Acetobacterales; Acidocellaceae. The record is from RNAcentral.
GGGUGGGGGGACCAACCGUGGGAAAUUACGGUUAAUACCGCAUGAUCCCUGAGGGGCAAAAGGCGAAAAGCCCCCUAAGGAGGAAGCCUGCUUCUGAUUAGGUAGUUGGUGGGGUAAAGGGCCUACCAAGCCUGCGAUCAGUAGCUGGUCUGAGAGGAUGAUCAGCCACACUGGGACUGAGACACCGGCCCAGACUCCUACGGGAGGCAGCAGUGGGGAAUAUUGGACAAUGGGCGAAAGCCUGAUCCAGCAAUGCCGCGUGGAUGAAGAAGGUCUUCGGAUUGUAAAGUCCUUUUGGCGGGGACGAUGAUGACGGUACCCGCAGAAUAAGCUCCGGCUAACUUCGUGCCAGCAGCCGCGGUAAUACGAAGGGGGCUAGCGUUGCUCGGAAUGACUGGGCGUAAAGGGCGCGUAGGCAGACGGCACAGUCAGGCGUGAAAUUCCUGGGCUCAACCUGGGGACUGCGUCUGAGACGUGUUGUCUUGAGUAUGGAAGAGGGUUGUGGAAUUUCCAGUGUAGAGGUGAAAUUCGUAGAUAUUGGAAAGAACACCGGUGGCGAAGGCGGCAACCUGGUCCAUUACUGACGCUGAGGCGCGAAAGCGUGGGGAGCAGACAAAAUUAGAUACCCUGGUAGUCCACGCUGUAAACGAUGUUUUCUGGAUGUUGGGGUGCUUAGCACUUCAGUGUCGUAGCUAACGCGGUAAGCACACCGCCUGGGGAGUACGGCCGCAGGUUGAACUCAAAGAAUUGACGGGGGCCCGCACAAGCGGUGGAGCAUCUGGUUUAAUUUGAAGCAACGCGCAGAACCUUACCAGGAUUUGACAUGGGGAGUACCGGUCCAGAGAUGGACUUUCCCGCAAGGGGCUCCCGCACAGGUGCUGCAUGGCUGUCGUCAGCUCGUGUCGUGAGAUGUUGGGUUAAGUCCCGCAACGAGCGCAACCCUCGCCUUCAGUUGCCAGCAUGUUUGGGUGGGCACUCUGAAGGAACUGCCGGUGACAAGCCGGAGGAAGGUGGGGAUGACGUCAAGUCCUCAUGGCCCUUAUGUCCUGGGCUACACACGUGCUACAAUGGCGGUGACAGUGGGAAGCCAGGUGGUGACACCGAGCUGAUCUCAAAAAGCCGUCUCAGUUCGGAUUGCACUCUGCAACUCGAGUGCAUGAAGGUGGAAUCGCUAGUAAUCGCGGAUCAGCAUGCCGCGGUGAAUACGUUCCCGGGCCUUGUACACACCGCCCGUCACACCAUGGGAU